CCCUUAGAUGUUCUGGGCCGCACGCGCGCUACACUGACGGAGUUAACGAGUUGUCCUGCAUCGGAAGGUGUGGGUAAUCUUUUGAAACUUCGUCGUGCUGGGGAUAGAUCUUUGCAAUUUUCGAUCUUGAACGAGGAAUUCCUAGUAAGCGUGAUUCAUCAGAUCGCGUUGAUUACGUCCCUGCCCUUUGUACACACCGCCCGUCGCUACUACCGAUUGAAUGGUUUAGUGAGGCCUCGGGACUGGCGCGCUCGAGUAGCAAUACACCUGCGCGCCGGGAACUUGGUCAAACUUGAUCAUUUAGAGGAAGUAAAAGUCGUAACA
This 324-nucleotide ribosomal RNA is filed under the name uncultured eukaryote. Its description in RNAcentral is "partial 18S ribosomal RNA". It matches the Rfam family "Eukaryotic small subunit ribosomal RNA", at positions 1470 to 1796 of the family's 1831-position model. The record is from RNAcentral.